AGAGUUUGAUCCUGGCUCACGAUGAACGCUGGCGGCGUGCUUAACACAUGCAAGUCGAACGAAGCACCUUGAUUUGAUUCUUCGGAUGAAGAUCUUGGUGACUGAGUGGCGGACGGGUGAGUAACGCGUGGGUAACCUGCCUCAUACAGGGGGAUAACAGUUAGAAAUGACUGCUAAUACCGCAUAAGACCACAGCACCGCAUGGUGCAGGGGUAAAAACUCCGGUGGUAUGAGAUGGACCCGCGUCUGAUUAGGUAGUUGGUGGGGUAACGGCCUACCAAGCCGACGAUCAGUAGCCGACCUGAGAGGGUGACCGGCCACAUUGGGACUGAGACACGGCCCAAACUCCUACGGGAGGCAGCAGUGGGGAAUAUUGCACAAUGGGGGAAACCCUGAUGCAGCGACGCCGCGUGAGCGAUGAAGUAUUUCGGUAUGUAAAGCUCUAUCAGCAGGGAAGAAAAUGACGGUACCUGACUAAGAAGCACCGGCUAAAUACGUGCCAGCAGCCGCGGUAAUACGUAUGGUGCAAGCGUUAUCCGGAUUUACUGGGUGUAAAGGGAGCGUAGACGGAGUGGCAAGUCUGAUGUGAAAACCCGGGGCUCAACCCCGGGACUGCAUUGGAAACUGUCAAUCUAGAGUACCGGAGAGGUAAGCGGAAUUCCUAGUGUAGCGGUGAAAUGCGUAGAUAUUAGGAGGAACACCAGUGGCGAAGGCGGCUUACUGGACGGUAACUGACGUUGAGGCUCGAAGCGUGGGGGAGCAACAGGAUUAGAUACCCUGGUAGUCCACGCCGUAAACGAUGACUACUAGGUGUCGGGCAGCAAAGCUGUUCGGUGCCGCAGCAAACGCAAUAAGUAGUCCACCUGGGGAGUACGUUCGCAAGAAUGAAACUCAAAGGAAUUGACGGGGACCCGCACAAGCGGUGGAGCAUGUGGUUUAAUUCGAAGCAACGCGAAGAACCUUACCUGCUCUUGACAUCUCCCUGACCGGCAAGUAAUGUUGCCUUUCCUUCGGGACAGGGAUGACAGGUGGUGCAUGGUUGUCGUCAGCUCGUGUCGUGAGAUGUUGGGUUAAGUCCCGCAACGAGCGCAACCCCUAUCUUUAGUAGCCAGCGGUUCGGCCGGGCACUCUAGAGAGACUGCCAGGGAUAACCUGGAGGAAGGUGGGGAUGACGUCAAAUCAUCAUGCCCCUUAUGAGCAGGGCUACACACGUGCUACAAUGGCGUAAACAAAGGGAGGCAGAACCGCGAGGUCGAGCAAAUCCCAAAAAUAACGUCUCAGUUCGGAUUGUAGUCUGCAACUCGACUACAUGAAGCUGGAAUCGCUAGUAAUCGCGAAUCAGAAUGUCGCGGUGAAUACGUUCCCNGGGUCUUGUACACACCGCCCGUC
RNAcentral lists this ribosomal RNA (1389 nucleotides) under uncultured bacterium. RNAcentral's name for it is "16S ribosomal RNA". It matches the Rfam family "Bacterial small subunit ribosomal RNA". The record is from RNAcentral.